AUCGCUUCUUAGCCUUUUGGCUAAGAUCAAGUGUAGUAUUUGUUCUUAUCAGUUUAAUAUCUGAUAAGUCCUCUACUGGAGAACAAUAAAUUAAAUGGAAUUUUGGAGCAGGGAGAUGGAAUAAGGGCUUGUUCUGUCCACUCCACACAUUGAUCCGGUAUUGCAGUACAUCCAGGAAUGGUGCACCCCUC
Molecule: small nuclear RNA, 191 nt
Filed under: Sciurus vulgaris (Eurasian red squirrel)
Lineage: Eukaryota; Metazoa; Chordata; Mammalia; Rodentia; Sciuridae
Description: U2 spliceosomal RNA (ENSSVLG00005013807.1)
Rfam family: U2 spliceosomal RNA
About the family: U2 is a small nuclear RNA (snRNA) component of the spliceosome (involved in pre-mRNA splicing). Complementary binding between U2 snRNA (in an area lying towards the 5' end but 3' to hairpin I) and the branchpoint sequence (BPS) of the intron results the bulging out of an unpaired adenosine, on the BPS, which initiates a nucleophilic attack at the intronic 5' splice site, thus starting the first of two transesterification reactions that mediate splicing.
Source: Rfam by way of RNAcentral